This 699-nucleotide ribosomal RNA is filed under the name uncultured Pseudomonadota bacterium. Its description in RNAcentral is "bacterial SSU rRNA". It matches the Rfam family "Bacterial small subunit ribosomal RNA", at positions 63 to 751 of the family's 1533-position model. Lineage: Bacteria; Pseudomonadati; Pseudomonadota. The record is from RNAcentral.
CGAACGGUAACAGGAAGAAGCUUGCUUCUUUGCUGACGAGUGGCGGACGGGUGAGUAAUGUCUGGGAAACUGCCUGAUGGAGGGGGAUAACUACUGGAAACGGUAGCUAAUACCGCAUAACGUCGCAAGACCAAAGAGGGGGACCUUCGGGCCUCUUGCCAUCGGAUGUGCCCAGAUGGGAUUAGCUAGUAGGUGGGGUAACGGCUCACCUAGGCGACGAUCCCUAGCUGGUCUGAGAGGAUGACCAGCCACACUGGAACUGAGACACGGUCCAGACUCCUACGGGAGGCAGCAGUGGGGAAUAUUGCACAAUGGGCGCAAGCCUGAUGCAGCCAUGCCGCGUGUAUGAAGAAGGCCUUCGGGUUGUAAAGUACUUUCAGCGGGGAGGAAGGGAGUAAAGUUAAUACCUUUGCUCAUUGACGUUACCCGCAGAAGAAGCACCGGCUAACUCCGUGCCAGCAGCCGCGGUAAUACGGAGGGUGCAAGCGUUAAUCGGAAUUACUGGGCGUAAAGCGCACGCAGGCGGUUUGUUAAGUCAGAUGUGAAAUCCCCGGGCUCAACCUGGGAACUGCAUCUGAUACUGGCAAGCUUGAGUCUCGUAGAGGGGGGUAGAAUUCCAGGUGUAGCGGUGAAAUGCGUAGAGAUCUGGAGGAAUACCGGUGGCGAAGGCGGCCCCCUGGACGAAGACUGACGCUCAGG